Molecule: non-coding RNA, 18703 nt
Organism: Monodelphis domestica (gray short-tailed opossum)
Lineage: Eukaryota; Metazoa; Chordata; Mammalia; Didelphimorphia; Didelphidae
Source: RefSeq, a predicted model, not a curated record
UUUUCCACUUGAUAUUUGGAAAGUAACUGGAGUUCUCUUGUUUUCUUCAGAAGGGCUUAGGAUGACUUCAUGUUCAUUUCUAAAUUCAGGUGAAAUCAGUAGGAGUUAAGAGGGAAGGGUGAGACUUGUAGUGAAUUCAUUGUUUAUGAGCAGACAACCUGACCUUUCAGACUAAUCUUGUGGCCAUUUAGAUAUCGCAUAGGGGAGAGGGGCUAAGAGAUGGGGGAAGGAUGGAGAAGUGGCUCAGGAUUUGGGAUAUGAACCUCAGGUGAUAGUGGUUUGGACAGAAACUAGAGAAGAAGGCUCUUCGUCAUCAAGCAGCUGGCCUGACUCUACUGCUUUCUGGAAAAUAAAUUGACUGAAUUUCAGACAAACAUAGGAGGAUUUGCAUGAACCCAUACAGAAUAAAAUAAGCAUAACUGACAGAACAAGGGGUAUAGUGAUUACAACAAUUAUAAAGGAACCUGAUCAGUAAAAGGAAGUUGAAUGCUGAGUAAUGGAGAAGCCAACGAACCUCUCAGAGAAGAGAUGAGGAGACAUAUCUCUUCCCUCAUGACAGAAGUAGAGGACGAAUGGGACAGAAUAUUGUAUACAUUAUCAAGCGUGGUUUGUGUAGUGGAUGAUUUUGCUGAAUUGUUUUCUUUAGCACUGAAGGAGUUGAAUCAAAGGAGAGGUAGUGUGUUGGGGAAAGACUGAUGUAAAGACAAAAGGCGCCAGUAAAAUGUGCAAAAAUGUAAAAACAGAAGAAGCAAAUUCAAUUUCAGUGUGAAAUUUAUUCUAUUCCUUUUAGUGUAGUAAUACCCAAGACUUUCUCAUCUACAUCUUCCUAUGUCUACAAUGCAUCCUAAUGAAAAAGCCCAAAGCCAUUGAAAUCCUAUGUUUGUUCUUCUGUAAGAAGGAAGGAAAAUAUGCAGAAACUAUAAUAAACUCAGAGGAAUGACAGAGACAGAGAUUAAGGGUCAGAGGGACAAAAGGAGAGAGGGAAGUGGAUGAAAGGGGGAAGGAAAGAGAAACAGAGACAUGACAGAGAUAGGGAUAAAGAGAGAGAAAUAAACAUGGAUAGAGGAGGCUUUUUUGGGUUCUGUACAGCUGAGCCCUUCUAUGCCAAGACACCCAAGGGAGAGCCUGUGAGUGUAUCCAACCUAUAGCUGUUUAGAGUUCUUAGGCUGAAGGUCUGCGAGAUGGCAAUAAAAAUAUCCCUAAGGCCACCAUUGCCUAGAACAGGCUGGGAGCAACAUUUAGAGCCAUAAAUCAGUCAGGAAAGAGUGUGGUCUUUUUGCUGUGUAUUCACUUCUGUCUCAAGGCCCCCCUUUUUGUCCUGUUUACAUGGGGAAUCUGGUCCCAUCGAGUUUGACAUUUUCCUGGGAGAGGCACCUUUCUUGUGUAUUUGUGUGCUCAAGCACCCAGCAUAGUGCUUUGUAUGGUGCACAGUAUGUGCUUAAUUAAAAUGUUUGUUGAAUUGAUUUCAAGUAGGGCAGCCAUUAUGUAGCUGUCCCCAUUGCAGUCCUGGAAUAAUAAUAAUAGCUCAUGUUUAUAUAGCACUUUGAGGAUUGCAAAACUCUUUACAUAGAGUUUCUUAGCUGAACUGUGGAGUGAUCUUAUUAUCCCCAUUUUACAGAGGAGGAAACCAAGGCAGAGAGAAGUGAAGUCAUUUUUCCAGAAUCACACAGCCAGUAACUGAGUUAGAAUUUGAACUCAGGAUGGCUAAUCGAGCCACCAAGUGGCUCAGCAUCUCCUUGCCUUUUCACCAUUUCCUCCCUCUGCUUUCCAGUUUAAUUCAUAGUGUGAGCAUAUCCUAUCUCUGGAGCAGACUCAGUGAUAUUCAUGAGUCUUCCCUUUUAGACUCCAAAUUCCCUUGUAGACCUCUGAUUUAGAGGAUGUUUGUCACUGUCUAGGCAUGGCCAGUCUUUUUCUAUUAUUAUCAGAAAGUCCUUCUGUUUUUUGAGUGAUGGAAAGGCAGUAUAUAGUAAUGCAGGGAUUCUUAACUUUUGUUUUGUUUCUUAGACUUUUUGGCAAUCUGAUGAAAUCUAAUGUUUUUAAAUAAUUGAAAGAAAUGCUUAUUUUUACUUAGAAUUUAGCAAAAAUAAAAACAUAAGUUUUCCCCAUUUUUGUUCAUGAACCCUUUGAAAUCUAUUCCCUGCACCCCUUGCUGGUGUUACCUAUGGAUCCCAGGUUAAGAACUCCUGCAGCAAUUGAUAGGGAACUAGAUAGGCAGGCCAUAAGAGCUGGGUUCAAAUCCUGCUGCAGAUUCUUACUAACUCUGACUCUGAUCAAGUUUGUUAAUCUCUCUGUGCUCAAUUUCCUCAUCUAUAAAAUGGGAAAAUUGGGUUCAUUUGCCUCCUAAGGUCCUUUAGAGAGUAAACUCUCAUGCUCUGUGGGAUGGUCAUUAAGAUAUGAACUUUGGGAAGGUAUGGAGAAAUGGUAACUCUUCCAGAUAAUUUGCUUACUAGUUUCCAUCCUAACCAAUAGCAUGCAUAUGUGAGAUCAUUGGAUAAGAUUAAAGCUAUAGUCUUUGGCCUUGGGGUGGAGUUUUUCUCCCUGUGAAGUUCAUCCACCCAUGUGGGGAAUUGAAGGGGAGUAACAGAAAAUCAAAACCCCCUAUUCCUGUCCUUCGUCAUUUGGCACAUUGACCCAGCUGUCCCUCAAGGUUGAUUCUGAACCAGCUUUACAAAUAGCCACUUGCUGACUCCCUUGGGUGAGUGAUGGUUAAUGCUGAGGCCAUAUUACUCUGGAAGGCUGGUUUAAAAUACCAGGAGAGUGUCAUCUAACACCUAAUAAUCCCUUGCUUGGGGGAGAGGCUAGAAGAAGUUGAACCCUCUGAUUUUCAUUGUAGAGUAUAUGUGGAUCUGCUCUGGAGUAAGGGUAGUAGAGAUGCUCUCCUUCUUGAGUUGAGAAUCUUGAUUUUUUUCCCUUCAAGUCUUAACCUGUCUUAGAAUUUUAUAAACAUAUUGAAGGAUAUAUAAAAAAAUAUCCUUCAAUAUUUUUUUAAAGGAAAUUGACUUUGCUUAGGGAAAUCAUUGCAGUGCUCCAAACAGGUUUUUGCCUGUCACUAUGCUGCCUCUUUCCUCUAAACCCCUUCCUCUAGGUUUCUUCCACUUUAAAGACAAAAAGCCUUACAACAAAACACACUUAAAAUGAUUGGGUUUAAAUUAUCUUUAAAAUGUGUUUUAUUGGCGUCUUUUGUUUUCACAGCAGCUGCAUUUCUGAUUGUCUUUCCAUUCUCCCUGACCCAGAGAUCCAACCCUUGUAGCAGAGAAUAAAAAAGGAAGGAGAGGGGAGAAAAAACAAAUUUGCAAAAUCAACACACUAAGUGACUGAGGUCAUAUACGUAAUGUAACCUAUGCUUAAUCUUCCUAGCAUUGGAUUUUUCCAAAAAAAUAGCUUCCAUUUAUGUAAUGUGUUAUAGUUUACAAAACACUUACAUGCUUCUUCAACAAUCUGUUAUAUAGUAUAGGUAUCACACCCAUUUUACAGAUAAGAAAAGUGGAGUGAUUUGGUGAUUGUCACAUAGCCAAGAAGAGACAGGGCUGGAAUCUGAACCCAUGUCUUUUAGCUUUUUUUUUUAAUGUUCUUUUUUUUCCUUUCUUUUAAAGUCUUACUGACAAUUUUUAUCCAUGGUUAACAUUUCCCAAGAUCAUGCCCCCAAAAUGGCUUUCCCAUAUAAAAAAAGAAAUAAAGCUAAGAACCUCCCCAGCCCCACCAAUACAUUUAUUAUUCCUGACAAUAUGUGCCUUUUGCCAAACUACAUACCACACAUCGUUCGUUACCUCAUUCCUCUGCUGAUGUGACUGGCCCUAGCAUUGAUCUGAGUCCUGGUGCCCAUUCAGAUAAUUUUCCUUUAGAGCAAUGUGACUACUUUGUAUAUUGUUCUUUGGGUUCCUCUUACUUAGUUUGGCAUCAGGUCAUACAAAUCUUCUCAAGUUUUUUUGACUUCUUCCCACUUAAAUCUCUUUUCUACAAGACUGGAAAACACUGGUUCUUAGAACAGCUCUGCUUUUGUCAGAGAAUGGGGUAACAGCAGUCUUCUCUCUCUCUCUCUCUCUCUCUCUCUCUCUCUCUCUCUCUCUCUCUCUCUCUCUCUCUACGUCUCUCCCUCUCUCCCCCCUCUCUCUCCCUUCCUCUCUCUCUCUCUCCCUCCCUCCCUCUGUCUCUCCCCUGUCUCUCUCUCCCUCCCUCUCUCUCUCUCUCCCUCCCUCCCUCUCUGUCUCUCCCCUGUCUCUCUCUCUCCCUCCCUCCCUUUCUCUCUCUUUCUCUCCCUCCCUUUCUCUCUCUCUCCGUCCCUCUCUCUCUCUCUCUCUCUCUCUCUCUCUCUCUCUCUCUCUCUCUCUCUCUCACACACACACACACACACACACACACACGUACUUACUGUGUCUAAAACUACUCAUUUAAUUUUUCAGUAACAUUUACAGAAUCCGGCAGGAUGUGUAAACUUAUCAAACCUUUUAUUAAAAGACUAAGGAGGCUUUUGGAUGUAUCAAAACCAUAAUGCUCUCUUAGCUCAUAUUUUCAAUGAUAAUAAUAGUUUUAAUACAGAUGCUUGCAUCUCCUCUUGGUUUGUUCUCAGAAUAUCCUGUUAUUUUAUUUGGGCUCAUCUUCUGUCCCUGUGAAUUGUGUCUGUGUACCUUUUAGGACUACAUGGAUUGCAUGAGAUUCUAAUGCAUUUUCUUAAUUCCUCUAGGCAUAAUAUAUCCAUGAACUUUUUUUGUUUUUCAUUUUUUGGAAGAAACAAGCAUUUAUUUUAUUUCUCAUCUCUUUGCCAUUAAAAAAGGAAAAAAAAAGUCAAAUUCUUGUAACAUACAAAUAUAUAUAAUCAACAAAUUCCUUCAUUGGCCAUGACUAGAAAUGUAUGUCUCAGUGUUCAUCUUGAGUCCCUCUGUGCUCUGUUAAGAGGUGCAUUGCAUGCUUCAUCUUGGGUUCUCUGGAAUCAUGUUUUGUCAUUUUGUCCAGGUUCUUAUGUCUUUCCAAGUUAGAUACAACUACUAAGAAAAGAGAUAUUAAAACAAACAAACAAAAAUCAUUCAGGUCUCAAGGAACGUGUAAUCAUGUCUGGGAAGAGAAAACCCUUGUAAAUAAAAGAAUUGAAUGACUCUUUAACUAAAAUUCUGUGAAUAUGUGCACAUUAAUAGGGUCUAGAAAGAACAAAGAUGAUGAUGAUGAUGAUGAUGAUGAUGAUGAUGAUGAUGAUGAUGAUGAUGAUGAUGAUGAUGAUGAUGAUGAUGAUGGAAGGUUGCAAAGUUCUUUGUAUACAUUAUCUCAUACUAACCAUAAUAACAACAAUCCUGUAAGGUAGAAACCAGUAUCAACACUUCUAUUUCACAGAUGAGGAAACUCGAGGCUCAAAAGUGAAAUGAUUUUUCCAUGGUCAUGUAGCAAAUAACAAAUGUCCAAGACUCAGGAUUUCACCCAUGAUUUUUCCUGGCAGCACCGUAUCUAUCUCACCAUAAAGUAGGGAACCCUAAGGGAUUUUGUUGUUUUGAAUUCUAUAUUUCAGCACAUUUGGAAACUUUUCCUUCACAAAUGUAACUUUGAAAAAACAACUCCUUACUUUCUGUCUUAGUAUUAGUUCUAAGGCAGAAGAGAAGCAAGGGCAAGGCAUUUGCCAUUAAGUGACGUGCCCAGGGUAACACAGCUGGGGUACUUCUUUAGCUAUUUGUUUCAAAUAACAAUCGAGUAAGCUUAGCACUUUGGCUGUAGUGAGUGACCCACCUCUCAGUGCAGGGAACAUGGAAUGACACACCAAAGAAGCUAGAAAUCACUUAAAUAUGGAGAUGGGCAAUUGGGAAUGGGCAUCCGUACUUUUUCCCUCCAGCUUUUCUGACACAAGUUUUUAUGGUUUAAAACUCUGGUGUAGGGAAUAGACCUAUUUGUUUAUAUUUUAAAUGAGGUCACCAAAUUGGUCCACUCAAAAAAGGCUUAUAAUUCAAGCAACCAGACUUGUGUAGUGUUUUAACCUGGUGGUUGGAAAACAAUGAAACAUAAAUGCCAGCUGGCUCUCAAGUUACUGCUACCUGGGUGUGAGACUUUGUAAAAGUCAUUUUAUCUCCUCUGAGGUGUACAUUUUCCUCUAAAAAAUGAUGAGGUUGGAUUAGAGCAUUUCAAGGGCACUUUCUGUGUCAAUUGUUCUCUGAGUCCAUUUUGGAACAACAGGGGGGAGGUUGGGUGUGUGUUGUGGGGACAAAUAAUCUUAUUGGGGGGAAAAUCUCGGUCACGAUUUUUAAAAUGGUUUUUUACUUUUAAAUAUAGUACAUUUCAUAAAUGAAGAUAUGAAUGGGUGCCAAUAAGCAAAACAUGUUAAUUAAAAAAAAAAACAACUUGCCUGAUAUUUAUUCUAUUACUUUAAAGGAGAUAUGAUUUUGUCUUUCUAUGCUUCCUCCACUGAUAUAGACUGCAAUCCCUUCACACCUUAAAGAACAGUUUUCAUUAGCCUUCCUUUCCUUUUCCUCCCUCUCUCUUUGAAAGUCACCUGCUUUAGAAUCCUCUUUUCUCUUUCUUCAAAGACAUACCUCUUCCAUCAGGCUUUUCCUGUUUCCAUUGAGUUAUCAUUUAUUUCUUUGUCUAUCUUCUUUUCUCUCCUCUCCUUUCUUUCCCUCUCCCUUUCUCUCUGUCUCUCCAUCUCUAUCUCUAUCUCUCCUUUCUUUUUUUUUAAAUGAGUUUUACUGUUUAUUUUCAACAGCCAUAUGAUAAGAAACUUGGUUUUCUUAGAAGAAAAUUUGCAAAAUUAGAUCCUCCCACAUUUACCAGCCUCUUUAAAAAGCUACUCUACAAAAAAAGAGUAUCUUCUGGUGGGAACUAUAAGAGAACAUAAGCACCUAUCUAUGGCAAAACAACCUCCUUAAACACAUUUUUUUUUUUUUGUGAAAUGAGAAAUCAAUAAGAAUCUCAUUACUUUUUUGUAGAAUCAGAGCUAGAAGUCAAGUCCAGCCUCUUUAAUUUACAGAUAAGAAAACUGAAGCCCUGAGAAGUUAAGUGACUUGUCCAGGAUCGAUCAUACAGCUAGUGAAACAUACCUGUCUCUCCUUUCUGGGUGUUUUUGCUCUUUUUGUUUCCCUCUGUCUAUCUCUCUUUUCUCUCUUUAUCUUUCCUUCUCUUCCUCUCUCCCUUUUCAUAUUUUGUAUUUACUUAUCUACAUAUAUGUUGGUUACUUCUCUCCACCCCCAAAUUAAUGUCAGCUCUUUAAAGCCUGGGGCCACUUUAUUUUUAUCUAAGAAAUUCCUUGACCAUAUUCAUUAUAAAUGAUGAUUGAACUGAAUUGAACUUUACUUAUUUGAGUAAUUUCCUGAUAAUUAUGCUUAAUUACUCUUUUGUUCUUUCUUAGGGCAUUUACAAGUUGAAUAUUUUGCUUUAAAAAAACUCUCCCAAAGUCUGUAAUGUUUCUCUUUUAUUGAAAGACCAACUUUUCAAAAAAAAAUGUAGUUGUUGUUUUAGGUUGUAGCUUAAGAAUCCUGACUUUUGAGGAUAUACUAUUCCCUUCUUUUCUCUAGUUUCUCAUGACAACAGAGUAAUCUUUGACUAUUCUAAUUUGCUUCUUUCAUACAUGAAUGGCUUUCUUGGCUGCUUGUGAAAUUUUAAGUAUAACACGUUUCUCUGGCAAUGAUGUUUGGUUUUAAUUUCUUAUCUGUAUUCUAAAAUUUAUUAAUUUUAAUUGUAUUCUUUGCCAUAGAUGUUCAGGUUUUUAAUGUGUCAUUUUUUUUUUCUAGUAGACUACUGAUCUAAUGAGUGGAAGCCACUCAUUUGGUCUUCAGAGUCAGCCAUUUUACCUGUCAAAAUUCAUGUAUUUUAUAGUUUCUUUUUGCUUCCCUUAUGCCACCUUUGCUUCUCCUUUUUAUAUUUUUGUGUUCCAGAUCUGUUGUUUUCUCUUUCAGAGUGUCUGCUUAUUUAGAAAUAUUCCCCAUCAUCUUUUUUAUUUUUUCUUCCUUUUCCUUUGUCUUUAAAUUUUUAUACUGAUAGCCUUGGUUUCUGAAUUAAUUUCCUUUCUACUAUUUAAUUUAAAAGCUUUGUUUCUCUUUUGAACCAUUCUGGAGUUUCUUUCGAGAAGCCCUGGGGAGUUAGUCAGCAAACACUUAUUAGGCAUCAACUAUAAGCCAAGCUAGAGAUACAAAGAAAGGUAAAAGAGAGUUCUUGUUCACAUAGAGUCUAUGGAAUUCUCUAAUUAGGGAAUUUUGGAUCAUUUCCCCUUAACUUAAGCUAAUAUUAAUUAUAAUAGCUAACAGUUAUGAGCCAGGCCUCUAUGUGGCACAGUCUGUAGAAUGCUGGAAUUGGGAAGACCCAUCUUUCAGAGUUCAAAUCCAGCCUCAGACUCUUACUAGUUCUGUGACCCCAGGUAAGUCACUUAACUUUGUUUGCCUCUGUUUCCUCAUCUGUAAAAUGAGCUCGAGAAGGACAUGACAAACCACUUCUGUGUCUUUGCCAAGAAAACCCCAAAUGGGGUCAUGAAGAGUCAGACACAACUGAACAAUAACCAAUGACUAGGGCCAGCACUCUAGCCACUGUACCAUCUCCCUGUAUGAUAAUUGUUCAUUGUGCUUUGAUUUUUUCUUUUGCUCAUUUUCUCUUCUGUUGGAUUUAUCUCUUGAUGAGACAGUUAUUUUAUCAGGCUUCCUCCAAUUGUAGACUUUGGGUCUUCUAUUCCAUAUUCCUAAAUGCUUGUCCCUGCUUUCCCUCUUUGUCCUUCCAUUGCUGCACAGACCAUUUGGGGAGACAAAGGAACCCAGCCAGAUUCUCUGCUCAGAGUAGGCUCUGCUGGGAGAGGGCUGGCCCCAGCUGUGUUUGCUGUCUCUCUGGCAUAGAACCUUUAACCAGCCCUCUGUGCUGCCCUGGCGUACACCCCCCACAUCCCCCUUCUCUCCUCUCUUGUGCCUUCAAACUCAGCAGAAUCCAUGUCUGCCCCCACUGCCUGGGGAAUGUGAGGAGUGAAGGAGAGGGGGUUUGGGCCAAGUUAUUGUUUUGGUGGGGGAAAGGAGGGAUGCCCCACUCCUAGCCAAACCUUGAAAAGCCUGACUGUGAAGAAGCUGAGUAUUUCAGUAUUUCAGUUCUCUGGUAUCUUUCUGGAAGUUUUUGCUUUUGUGCAGUAUUUCUGUUUAUUUGGAUAUAACAUUGUUGUUGUUGAGUUGUUCAAGUGUGUCUCUCUGUGACCCUGGGGACCACAGUGUACACAUAGGGUUGUUUUGUUUUUUCCAAAUCCAUACAUCAGUCUUAGCAUCCAUUUAUUUAUUCAUUCAUUCAUUCAUUUAUUUGUUUGUUUGUUUGUUUAUUCAUUCAUUUAUUUAUUUAUUUGUUUAGUUGUUUGUUUAUUUAUUUUUAGCUCUUCUUAGAAUCAAUACUAAGGAGGCAGGGCAGUAAGGGCUAGGCAAUUGGUGGUUUUAAAUGGUGUGCGCAGGGUCACACAGCUUGGAAGGGUCUCCUGUCUCUAGGUCUGACCCUCCAUCCAUCCACUGAAUCACCUAGCUGCUCCCUGGUAUCAGUUCUAAGGCAGAACAGUUUUAAGGGCUAGGCAGUUGGAGUGAAGGGACUUACCUAGGGUCACCCAGCUAGAAGUAUCUGAAAUUAAAGUUAUAUCUUUCUGAUUCCAGGUCUGGCCCUCUCUCCACUGUUUCCUGGAUUCAACACGAUUCACUCCCUAUCUGUUAUAGAAUUCCUUUUCCCAUAGUUUUUGGGAUGAGGAAUUUUGUAGAAAACGAUUACUCUGUCCACUAGCUAUUCAUUUGAAUUCAGUCCAAUGGGUGGCCAAAGCUCUUAAGCUUCCAUGGACCAGUUCUUGGCCCAUUACUAGGUAGGAUCUGCUAGUUUUUGAGACCACAAGGUCAUCCCUACGUUAGGCUGAGGCAUCUGGGUAGACCGUAUGUGGGUUGGAAACAUAACAACCAGGGAAUCUGUGACUGGAUCCCUAAGGCUAAAUCCUGAAUUUUUUUAAACCUGGCUCUGUUUAAGCAAAACAAAACAAAAGCAAGACAACUCUGGACUAGCUUUCGUGCUUGUGAGCAGUCACCUAGAAUUCAGAGAUUAUUUCUAACUACCCUCUCAGGGAGAAUUACAAAUGCACAAUCUGAAUGAUUGUCAUUUUCCGAAUUGGUGGGAUGUGACUGUAAUGAAGUCUGACUGUAGCUUAAUGCCCUUGGAUUAUCGAUGAGCUUUUGUGUGCAGAGCCUGGUAGAAUAGCCCUCAACUAGCCCCUUGCCCAGAGUAAUAUAAUCCGUGUAUUUUAUUUCAUAAACAAUAAUAGCUAGCAUUUAUAUAGCACAUCGUGCUUUUAAAGUUUACAAAGAGAUUUACCGAUAUCCCAUUUGAUAUUCACAAAAAAGCCAGGUGCUGUUAUGACCUCCUUUUUUACAGAUGAAGAAACUGAGGCAUUCAGAAUUUAAGUGACUUGUCUAGGGUCACCCAGCUAAUAAAUGUCUGAGGCUGGUUUUGAACUCAGACCAAGACUCAGGCUUCUUUACAAAGCCUGUGCACCAUUCUGUUAAUAACCGUAGGCUGUAUACUAAUGACUGAGAAUUAUAUGUACAUUUUGAUUAUUAUUAUCAUUAUUAACAAGUUUAGUUGUUUUCCUUUUUAAUUCUUCCUAAAUUAAGCUAGAGCAGAUAAGCUAAGAUGGAAAAUGGGAUUGACUGAAAGCAAUUAAAAACCUUUUAGGAGGAUUGGGGCAAAGAGACCUAUAUAUAUCAACAUUAUCUUAAAUCAUUAACAAAAGUUAAAGUAUGUUGAUUUUAUUUAUUUUUCAAACUCCUGAUGGGAUAAUUAGCUAGGAUGAUACACUAUACAAAUGUCCAUCGGCACUAACCCGCUGUAAGAGUGAUUUAUCUUCAGCAUAAUAUAUUGGCAUGUAUAGGCACACAUAGGGCAGCUAUGUGGCCCAAAUCAGAAAGAUCUGAGUUCAUAGCAAGCCUCAGACACUAGCAGUGUGAGCCUGGGAAAGUCAUUUCACCCUGCUUGCCUCAGUUUCCUCACCUGUCAAAUGAGCUGGAAAAGGAAGUGACAAACCACUCCAGUAUCUCUGCCAAGAAAACCCCAUCAGGAGCACAAAGAAUUUGGGCCUGACUGAAAUGACUGGACAAGAUACAAAUAGUAAUAAUAGUAGAUGGCCUUUAUAUUAUCCAGUCUCUGACACAGGAUUAUUUAACUCUGUGCAAGUCGCAUAAUCAGAUACUAUACAUUACUGAGCUCUUACUCAUGUGCCCCAGUCCAGGGAUUCCAUCCUCUAGUAAAGUCGUAAGUCUGGACUUUGAUGAUUGCAAAACACUUUUCAUUGAUGAGAGGAGAAUUGUGACCUAAUGGACAGACAGCUGGCCUCCAAGUCAGUCCAGCUCGAACCCAGGUCAAAGUUCAAGUCCUGACCCCGUGACCCUGGAACAGUCACUUAAUCUCAGGGCUAAGAGUGGAAGUUUCAGAGGAGGCACUCAGAGGACUCCAGUUGGUUUGAAAUAGUUUCCUUAUGGGGGAGUUCCUUAUAGUAAUGAGAUCCCAGGUCCAGCCUUUAUCCUCCCAGGCUCCUAGCUCAGAGAAAAGCGGGCUGGGGGUGGGAAGCACCGAUAAAUCUCCCCACUUUUCCCAUACAACUGCAUACACUAAAUAUGUUCCCGGAUUAUUUUUAUUAAAACGUAUAGGGAUCAAAGAAACCUGCCUCUGCCUCUGUGUUUCCCCCCUUCCCUUCCCUUCCUUCAGACCCCCUCCUUCAAGCCCUGGCGUCUUAAAUUCUCACUUAUAGGAUUUUGGAGAUCAAACAGAAGGCCUUUAAACUUAAUGAAUUCUCUCCUUCUCCCAGGAUAUAGCUGUUCUGUCCCUUUAAGCUGUUGGAGGCAAAGAUAGCGUGAGUUCCUGCCUAGUAAUGCUCACUUUCUUUAACUCCUGUGAAAGUAAAGCAGUCCUUAUUUUGAGGCUUCCAAUUAUACUUCACAUGGUGAACUGUGUAAUUAGUUUGGAAGACUUAUGCUUAGUCAUUGGUUUAUCCUAAUCGGCUUUGGCUUUCCCCAACAACAAAGUGAGCUUAUUUUGCUAAGCUGAAACAACUCGGCUCCCUUUGUUCCUGCCUUUGAUUGUCUCAUUCCUUUCAUUCUGUUUUCCUGCCAGAGUUCAGUUUCAUUAGGCCUACAAGUCAUUUCCAAUCCAAUAGGCUGCUACAAUCAAGCUUUUGUAACUCAGCUGCCCUGGUUCCCAUGUCCCUUCUGGUUUCAUGCCAGGAUUCCUUGUCUGACAUGGGGCCUUAACCCUUUUCUCUACCUGCAGGCCCUCUGGUUCCCCAACACUUAAAGGUGUAACCAUCAGUAUCUGGAGCGCCCCAAAAAGAGAGCAGAGACUUGUUGUUGGGCCGUUGUUUCUAUCAUGUUUGACUCUUUAUGACCCCAUUCGGGGUUUUCUUGGCAAAGAUACUAGAGGGGUUUAUCGUUUCCUUCUCCGGCUCAUUUUACAGAUGAGGAAACUGAGGCAAACAGGGUGAAUUGACUUCCCCAAAAGUCACAAAGUUAGAAAGUAUUUGAGGCCAGAUUUGAACUCAGGAAGAUGAGUCUUCUUUCUGAUUCAGGGGCUUGGUACUCUAGCUGUCCCUAGAGUUCUAGAUGAGCAUAUUAAAAUGAGGAAAUAUGACAAACAAAAAGCAAAUGUAAGUUCAUCUUAAAAUUAUUAUUUUAUAUUUAUUUAUACAUUUAAUAUAUUAUAUGAUAUAUCUACAAAUGUGCAUUUAUAGAUAUAUUUAUGGAUUAUAUUUAGUAAACAAGAAGGUGAAUUUUGCUCUUGUAAUAAAAUAAGAACUUUGUAAUGAAAUUGUCGGUGCUUUCCUCAUGGGAAGAGGCCAGGAAGAAGGAAAGGGAUAGGAAGAACCCUCUAGACUAUGUUUCUACUUGUUAAUCCCAGCUCCAGAUCUGGGUCCCUAGAUGUAGCAGCUGGCCUGUCUUCCAGAGCCCGUGUUCCUUCUUGUUUUGAUGCUCAACGUGUGAGGAAAGUAAUACCAAGAAUGAAAAUAUUAAAACUUCCUUUGAAAUCUGAAAGGCAAGGACUUUGGGCAAAUAAAUAAAUGAAAUAUUCUUAAAAGCAGCCAGCGGUCCUGAGGUAGAGCUUUAUCUCCACCAAAUGCUUGGACUAGAUAUCCUGAGCCCUCUGCAGUUAGCUCUUUGUGAUUCUUUCAGAUGAGACCUGAAAAACAAAAGUCCUGUCUGUUUUUUUGUGGGCAUCAAAGCUCCCACAAGGCAUCCUUCAUCCAAAAGGGUUUAUACAGGUGGAUUGAACUGAGUUUCAGAAACCUGAGUGAAAAUUGUCAACAUCCCAACUCCCCCUUUCCUUGUCACCUGUUUAGUUUAGUUUAGUUUUAUUUUGAAUACUGGAGACCUUUGAUGUUGGGCUCUUUCUUUUCCUUGAAAUAUCUUGGACGAUUUGGUGGAGGAUGGGGGAGAAAAGGAGGGAAGACAGGAUUCCUUUUCAAUUCUUAUCAUCCCUGAAGGUUUCUUUUGUGCAUAUAAUUUUCUUCCUUCUCUAGCCCAGAAGACAACUGAUGCUGUCCAUAUGUUUUGUUAAUUCUCUGUCUGGUUUGUGUCAGCCCCUCCCUCCCUCGGAAGUGGAUCAGGAGGAGGUGGUGAUUUUAUUUGAGCCUCCUGACCUCAGGCAGUUCUGUGUGACCAAGACUCUUGCCCUUUAGGAUUAGGAGAAUUCUGGAUCCUUCUAGAAUGGAGCUUUCCAAUGUCUACUGGGGUUCUUAGAUGGCAGGGCAGGGGUGACAGGCAGCAUUUGGGAACAAAGGAAUAAUCCUCCCUCUCCCCUGGUUAUAUCAUCUUUGAGGUCUGGCAGGUAAAAAAUAUCUGGUUUAAAAAAAAACACAAAACACUCAUAUUUCUGUUGUCCCCUCUUGUGAAGUUUCCAUUAUAUGGAUUAUUGUUGUUAGAAUUAUUAUUGUUGAUUAUCGUUAAUAUAGGAUUAUUAUUGUUAGAAGCAUUAACAUCAACAAUCACUGUGUAAAAGAGUAAAUACAUAUUUUAAAAAGAAGUAAAUGACUUCUGUGACUCCUGGCCUUGACAUAUCACAAGGCUUUAAGGUUUUCAUGGGAUCAUUGAUUUAGAGUUAACUGAAGAAUUCAGCAGCCAGGAGGCCCCCAUUCUGUGCAAGAAACUAGAGAGGUUUCGAGAGUUUGUAUUACUGUCUCUUUGUGAACUGGGAGCCUAAAUUCCCAUUUUAGAGAGGAGGACUUUGAGGCUGGGGAAGCUUUAUUGAUUUUCCCUAGUUACCCAACUUGCUGGUCUUAGAAAGAUUUGAAGUGUGUGUAUGAAUGCCCAUCCUCGUCUCAUUACUGUUCAGUGAAUUUGUUCAUAGAUUUCUAAAAAAACUUUUUUUCCUCUUGGUAUAAAAAUAUGCCCAUCUGUUGUCAUUUAAAUAUCUUACUAACCAUCAUUGCUCUUAUGCUUAUGUUUUUAAAAACAUUCAUGCUUUUUAGAACACCAUAGCAAGCUGGGAAGGGGGGGGGGGAGAUCAUUUUAUUACUAAUUAGCUUUGUGCCCUGGGCCAGUUCCCUAACCUGUGCCUCACUUUCCAAAGCAGUCCAACUAAACAAAUACUAUUUUGUUGUUCAGUGAUUUUAGUUGGCCCCAUUUGGGGUCUUCUUGGCAAAGAAAGUGGGGUGAUUUGCCACUUUCCUUCUCUGGCCUAUUUUAUAGAUAAGGAAACUGAGGCCAGAUUUGAAUUCAGCUUUUUCCGACUCCAGGCCAGGUGACUGAGCUGGUGACUACUGACCCCCCUGGCUGCCCACUUACCAUUUAGCACCCAGUAUAAGCUGGGCACUGUGUACACAAAAACCCAACCGAAGCAGCGUCCCUGUCCUCUGAAAACUUCCAUUUCCUCUGCACUCUAAGACAUUGAUUGAUCUAGCAGAUUGGGAGCCCAUUCAGCUAAGACGCCCUGAAUUUCUGAUUCUCUGGAAGGCUGCUCUUUAUUCAGUUUUCCUUUCAGUCCAGCAGAAGUAGGCAUGCUCUUAAUGCUUCCCAGAGCACGCAUCCGCUUGGGUGCAAACUAGUUUAAAAGUUGUCCUUCCUUUCCGGGAGGUUUGGGUUUGCCCACUUUUUCCUAGGCUCCCAGAUUGUGUGGGAAGGACUGGCCUGUCUGGGCAGCAAUGAGUUAAGGACCCCUGGAUCCUGGAGCUUCUGUGGGCUGCCUUUCUCCGAGGCCCUGGCUGUGGCCUCUGCAGACAUCAUUUACAAUAGAGUUGUUAGCAUGAGAAAGGGAGUCUUUCUCUCAGGCUUCAUUUCUGGGGGAUUUGAAAGUGGACAUUAAAUUGUGGUUCAGGCUAGUGCCAGUGGGUGCAAGGAGAAGGGGUUGUCUCAUUGGACAGAGAGCCCAGUUCAUUUAGACUUGGCACCCAUUUUGAAUUCCAUUGUUUUCUGCAUUGGACAUUGAUAUGGAAAUUUUAUUGUUUUCCAGGGUCAAUAGUAAUGCAUUCUCUACCUCCCUCCCAUCUUCCUCCUUGGUACUUUUUAAGCAGUUUCUCCUAGCCCUGUUCCUUCCCAAAGCAGGCUGGGAUGUGACAAGUUCCUUUCCUUUAAGUCUUUUUUUUUUAAGCCCUUGUACCCUCAGAUUAAAUAUUUGUGAAUUAGUAACCGCAGAAAGGCAGAUCUGGGCUCUAUUCAUAUUCUGAGCGGGAACAGGCUAAGCUGGAACAGGGAGAGCCCCAGAAAAUCUGAAUGUGCAGUUACUGUCCGGUGGGUGGUUGGGCUGUGUUGGAGUUUUUGAAGACUGUUAGAACCAACCAGGAGCUCUUUGGCUGAUACUUAAUAGCUUUUAGCUGAUUAUUUUUCUUCUCCUCCUCCUUUUUCUAUUGAAGUUGACCUGGUGCACUUGAGCGGAAAUGAAGUCAUCUGAAUGCUGAAUUAGAGUAAUCACAGGCCCUUAAGAAUGAAAUGGAAGCCUAGAUUAAAGGUGGUGGUGGUGGUGGUGGUGGUAGUAGUAGAAGUGGUGGCUGGGAGGGAAAAAGGGAGGGAAUAGAAAAAGCCAGAAUUAAUAAGGUUGGGAAACUUUGGGGGAAAAGCGGGAAAUUUCCAGAGAGUUAAUUUCUGCCCCUCCCUUUUCCCUCGGUCUUUGAACACUUUUACAGCUGCCCACUUCUCAUCUUCUUUCCCUUCUGACAUUGAUUUAUAAAUAAGGCAGUUUGGCUUAGUGGGCAAUCGGGAAGUUUGGGGUUCAAAUGGAACCUUUGAUAUAUGCUAGUGGUAUGACCUUGAGUGAGGUUAGGAAAAAAAUCCCCUCUUUUCCCAGUGCCCAGGAAACUGUGGGAAUGUAAAUUGCAGAGUUAUUGGAGAUCCCAGGGUUUUCCCUCUGAGAGUUCCUUUCUUUCAUGAAUCUCAGGACUGGACCAAAAAAAAAAAAGCCAAAACCCUGCCAGUACUUUGUGUUUAAGUUCUUGUGUUGGGCCACCAACUUCCUGGCCAAAUGUAAGUUCCUUAAGGGUAGGUUAUGCUUGCUUUUUUUUUUUGCCUUUCUUUCUCUAGCCCCUAGCAUACACAGGACCCAGCAUACAGUUUUUUGGUGUUGUCCAGUGCUUUCCGUGCUUUUGGACUCUUUGUAACCCCAUUCAGGCUUCUCUUGGCAAAGAUACUGGAGUGGUUUGCCAUUGCCAUCUCUAGCUUAUUUUACAUAUGAGGAAACUGAGGCCAAGAGUUAAAUGACAUGCUUAGGAUCACACGGCCAAGAAGCGUCGGAGAACAGAAUUUUGAACUUGGAUCUUCUUGACUCCAGGCCCAGGGCUCUAUCCAUUGUACCACCUAGCAUUUCCUGCCUUAUGCCAACAGCAUACAGUAUCUGUUGAAUAAAUUCUUGUUGAAUCAUGGAACUUAAUUUUUUUUAAAACCUUUACCUUCCAUCUUGGAGUCAAUACUGUUUAUUGGCUCCAAGGCAGAAGAGUGGUAAGGGCUAGGCAAUGGGGGUCAAGUGACUUGCCCAGGGUCACACAGCUGGGAAGUGUCUGAGGCCAGAUUUGAAUCUAGGACUUCCCAUCUAGGCAUGGUUCUCAAUCCACUGAGCCACCCAGCUGCCCCCGUGGAACUUAAUUUUUGACUAGAGGUAAUUGGAAAGAACAACCAAUUUAGAGGCCCUGGCUUCCAACCUUGGGUACCACACUUAUGUCUUGGCUUCAGUAGACUCUUCUGUAAAAGGAGGGGUUUGGAGCAUAUGACCUGUGCCCUCCCUUCCAGCCCUAAAUCUUGGAUCUCGUGAAUCCUAUGAAUUUUCCUUGGUUCAAAUCCCCUUCCUCUCCCCAACCUAUUUCUACCUAUUCAACAAGUGGGGCUGCUCUCCCCUGGUAGGGAGAGAUUCACAUGGCUGGAUCAUUGGGGUGGGGGAGGAAUGGGGGUUGCUGGGCUGAGUAGAAUGCCUUUGAGAGAAAGAGCAGGGCUGGGUUGCUAGGGAAACAAAGGAUAUACUCAACAGAUGUCAUUGCUGAAACCCUGGCUGGACAGAAAAAUAAGGAGGAACUUGGGGAGGACGAGAGGCAAAAUGAAAUGAAGUGUUCAUCAUAACUCACUGGCGAGAAAUUUCCAAGGUGGGUUCCGUUGACGUAUUCCAGUGGAUUAGAACAUGGGCCAGUUCUAAGGCUCCGCCCUCCACCCUUUCUGACAUCUAUCUGUGUGUCUGUGACAGUUUUAUUAAAAGCCAUUCCCCCAAAGAGCAUUUCAGUUUUGAGCUUUAUGGUUGAGCCUUUUAUAUAUUCUGGGCUUGUGCCUGCUGAGUUUCUCUGGGCAAGCUCUUUGGCUAAAAGGACCUACUGUGCCCCUACAUGCCUCUUUGGCUGUUAGUCUGGCACAGCAUUUACAUUUGUCUCUACAGCUCAUUGGGGGAAUCUUCACUGCUAACCCAUGAGCUCAGGAUUCAGUAACCAGAGCCCUACCAGCAAACCCCAGCCAGGGGGAGAAAAGAAGGUGUCAUGGGAACCAGUGACAGGUAGAUGGCCCUUUCCCAGGCUACAUACCCAUCAGCAAUACCUGAUUUCUUUUCUCUUUCAAAGCUGCCUUUAAUGUUUAUUUUGCCCUGAUUCACUUUAGGAAGAAAAAAAUAUUAAGGGUAAAGGAAUAGAAUUUAUGCAGGAUCAUAAUUUAGAGCUAGAAAGAAGCUUAACUAGACCUACUCUCCCUCUCCCCUCUUCCCCAUUUUAUAGAUGAGGACAUUCGGAUCGAAAGAGGUUAAAUUCGAGUUAACAGACAUUUAUUACAUGCCUUUUAUGUGCAAAGAUUUCAAAGACAAUUGUGUGAUAUAUCCACCAGAGCCCCAUAGGGAUAGCCCUGGCCGUAGCCUCUUAGAAAGGUUCUUCUCUGUACUCAAUGAAAUCACUAAAUGAAAUUCCCCCACUUCAUCAACUUGUCAGUAGGGAGACAUGAUGGAGGCUGUACACCUCUACAGGCAUUUCAUGAACCUAAUACCUCUUGCCUGGUCUGUUGUAGUAGCCUUCCGACUGGCCUUCCUACCUCCAGGCUCUCGUUUCUCCAAUCCAUUUGUCACACAGCCACCAAACAAACUCUAAAACACACAUUUGCUCAUGUCAUGGGCCGACCUCCCUAUGAAAACUAUUCAGUUUCUCCUCUCCUACCUUCUCUCCUGUAUGCAUUUUUCCUAUACUAAUUAUGAUACAAGGGAUUCAUAUUUCCUUCCUUCCUUCCUUCCUUCCUUCCUUCCUUCCUUCCUUCCUUCCUUCCUUCCUUCCUUCCUUCCUUCCUUCCUUCCUUCCUUCCUUCCUUCCUUCCUU